CGAUGCCUCACAAUCAGAUUGACUGGUGAAUUUGUUUAUCUACUAAGCAAGAAAGGGUGUGGGGCGUUUUUGUCUCCCCUUCUCUUGUAUGCGUCGGUAGGGGAUCAUGCCCAUCGCUUACUUUGGUAGUGGUAGGUUUGGCCCUCUUCUCGACAAACACAAACCCCGGCGCUUCGUGCGCCAAGGAAUUCCAACUUGUUAAGUGCGAUUCUCGUGGGCCCGGAGACGGUGUCCCACGUGUAUUGUCACGACACAUUUAUACACAACGACUCUCGGCAACGGAUAUCUCGGCUCUUGCAUCGAUGAAGAACGUAGCGAAAUGCGAUACUUGGUGUGAAUUGCAGAAUCCCGUGAACCAUCGAGUCUUUGAACGCAAGUUGCGCCUGAAGCCAUUAGGCUGAGGGCACGCCUGCCUGGGUGUCACACAUCGUUACCCCAACGCAAAGCGUCUCGCAUGCUAGGGGUGUAUGUUGACUUCCCGUGAGCUGCGUCUCGCGGUUAGUUGAAAAUUGAGUUCAUGGCCUUGUGCGCUGUGAUAUAAUGGUGGAUGAGUAAUGCUCGAGACCAAUCAUGCGUGACUCGGACAGUAUUGGACUCUUUGACCCUGUGUGUCUCUGCAUUUGCGUGCUAGAGAUGCUCUCAAC
This 644-nucleotide ribosomal RNA is filed under the name Teramnus labialis. RNAcentral describes it as "eukaryotic LSU rRNA". The stretch from base 268 to 423 matches the Rfam family "5.8S ribosomal RNA". Lineage: Eukaryota; Viridiplantae; Streptophyta; Magnoliopsida; Fabales; Fabaceae. The record is from RNAcentral.